This 253-nucleotide ribosomal RNA is filed under the name uncultured bacterium. Its description in RNAcentral is "partial 16S ribosomal RNA". It matches the Rfam family "Bacterial small subunit ribosomal RNA", at positions 524 to 776 of the family's 1533-position model. The record is from RNAcentral.
UACGGAAGGGGCGAGCGUUGUUCGGAAUCAUUGGGCGUAAAGGGUGCGUAGGCGGGUCUUUAAGUCAGGGGGGAAAUCCUGGAGCUCAACUCCAGAACUGCCUUUGAUACUGAAGAUCUUGAGUUCGGGAGAGGUGAGUGGAACUGCGAGUGUAGAGGUGAAAUUCGUAGAUAUUCGCAAGAACACCAGUGGCGAAGGCGGCUCACUGGCCCGAUACUGACGCUGAGGCACGAAAGCGUGGGGAGCAAACAGG